RNAcentral lists this non-coding RNA (154 nucleotides) under Roseibium album. RNAcentral describes it as "Labrenzia alba FMN sequence". It matches the Rfam family "FMN riboswitch aptamer (RFN element)". Rfam says of the family: The RFN element is a highly conserved domain that is found frequently in the 5'-untranslated regions of prokaryotic mRNAs that encode for flavin mononucleotide (FMN) biosynthesis and transport proteins. The record is from Rfam by way of RNAcentral. Lineage: Bacteria; Pseudomonadati; Pseudomonadota; Alphaproteobacteria; Hyphomicrobiales; Stappiaceae.
AACAGUUCUCGGGGCGGGGUGAAAGUCCCCACCGGCGGUAUCAGGGAAACCUGGAGCCCGCGAGCGCCUUGGCAGGUUCAGCGAAUGCCGAGGGUCAGCAGAUCCGGUGAGAUGCCGGGGCCGACGGUUAUAGUCCGGAUGAUAGAGAACUUGG